Molecule: ribosomal RNA, 345 nt
Filed under: Cylindrotheca closterium
Lineage: Eukaryota; Bacillariophyta; Bacillariophyceae; Bacillariales; Bacillariaceae
Description: partial Bacterial large subunit ribosomal RNA
Rfam family: Bacterial large subunit ribosomal RNA
Source: RNAcentral
GUUUGUCCCGAGUAGCACGGGGCUCGUGGAAUCUCGUGUGAAUCUGCCAGGACCACCUGGUAAGUCUAAAUACUUUCUAGUGACCGAUAGUGGAUCAGUACCGUGAGGGAAUGGUGAAAAGUACCCCGGGAGGGGAGUGAAAGAGUACCUGAAACCGUGUGCUUACAAGCCGUUGGAGCCUUUUGGGGUGACAGCGUGCCUUUUGAAGAAUGAGCCUGCGAGUUAGUGUUUUGUCGCGAGGUUAACCCGUGUGGGGUAGUCGUAGCGAAAGCGAGUCUGAAUAGGGCGUUGUAGUGGCAGGAUCUAGACCCGCAGCGGAUUGAUCUAUUCAUGGCCAGGGUGAAG